This 301-nucleotide ribosomal RNA is filed under the name uncultured bacterium. RNAcentral's name for it is "partial 16S ribosomal RNA". It matches the Rfam family "Bacterial small subunit ribosomal RNA", at positions 509 to 807 of the family's 1533-position model. The record is from RNAcentral.
CAGCAGCCGCGGGAAUACGGAGGGAGCUAGCGUUGUUCGGAAUUACUGGGCGUAAAGCGCGCGUAGGCGGUUACUCAAGUCAGAGGUGAAAGCCCGGGGCUCAACCCCGGAACUGCCUUUGAAACUAGGUGACUAGAAUCUUGGAGAGGUCAGUGGAAUUCCGAGUGUAGAGGUGAAAUUCGUAGAUAUUCGGAAGAACACCAGUGGCGAAGGCGACUGACCGGACAAGUAUUGACGCUGAGGUGCGAAAGCGUGGGGAGCAAACAGGAUUAGAUACCCCAGUAGUCCCUGUCUCUUAUAC